Molecule: ribosomal RNA, 255 nt
Filed under: uncultured bacterium
Lineage: Bacteria
Description: partial 16S ribosomal RNA
Rfam family: Bacterial small subunit ribosomal RNA
Source: RNAcentral
UACGUAGGGCGCAAGCGUUGUCCGGAAUUAUUGGGCGUAAAGAGCUCGUAGGCGGCUUGUCACGUCGGGUGUGAAAGCCCGGGGCUUAACCCCGGGUCUGCAUUCGAUACGGGCAGGCUAGAGUGUGGUAGGGGAGAUCGGAAUUCCUGGUGUAGCGGUGAAAUGCGCAGAUAUCAGGAGGAACACCGGUGGCGAAGGCGGAUCUCUGGGCCAUUACUGACGCUGAGGAGCGAAAAGCGUGGGGGAGCGAACAGG